This 522-nucleotide ribosomal RNA is filed under the name uncultured haloarchaeon. RNAcentral's name for it is "bacterial SSU rRNA". It matches the Rfam family "Archaeal small subunit ribosomal RNA", at positions 1 to 526 of the family's 1478-position model. The record is from RNAcentral. Lineage: Archaea; Methanobacteriati; Methanobacteriota; Halobacteria; Halobacteriales; Halobacteriaceae.
AUUCCGGUUGAUCCUGCCGGAGGACAUUGCUAUUGGGAUUCGAUUUAGCCAUGCUAGUCGAGCGAGUUCAGACUCGCGGCGAAUAGCUCAGUAACACGUGGCCAAGCUCCCCUUCAGUCAGCGAUACCCUCGGGAAACUGAGGUUAACAGCUGAUACAAAACGCCAGCUGGAAUGCGGCGUUUCAGAAAGACACCGCUGAAGGAUGCGGCUGCGGCCGAUUAGGUAGACGGUGGGGUAACGGCCCACCGUGCCAGUAAUCGGUACGGGUGAUGAGAGUCAGAGCCCGGAGACGGAAUCUGAGACAAGAUUCCGGGCCCUACGGGGCGCAGCAGGCGCGAAACCUUUACACUGCACGGAAGUGCGAUAGGGGAAUCCCAAGUGCGAGGGCAUAUUAGCCCUCGCUUUUCUCGACUGUAAGGUGGUCGACGAAUAAGAGCUGGGCAAGACCGGUGCCAGCCGCCGCGGUAGUACCGGCAGCUCAAGUGAUGUCCCAUAUUAUUGGGCCUAAAGCGUCCGUAGCU